This 487-nucleotide ribosomal RNA is filed under the name Aristerostoma sp. ATCC 50986. Its description in RNAcentral is "partial Bacterial large subunit ribosomal RNA". It matches the Rfam family "Bacterial large subunit ribosomal RNA", at positions 32 to 530 of the family's 2925-position model. The record is from RNAcentral. Lineage: Eukaryota; Ciliophora; Colpodea; Cyrtolophosidida; Cyrtolophosididae.
CUUGGCUCUCAGAGACGAUGAAGGACGUGUUAAGCUGCGAAAAGCUACAGGGAGCUGCACAAGAGCUUUGAUCUGUAGAUAUCCGAAUGGGGCAACCCACUUAGUUGAAGACUAAGUAUCCGCCGUAAGGUGGAGGUGAACCCGGAGAACUGAAACAUCUAAGUACCCGGAGGAAGAGAAAACAAUUAGUGAUUCCGUUAGUAGUGGCGAGCGGACGCGGAACAGCCCAAACCACUUUGGUUACGGCCAGAGUGGGGUUGUAGGACUGCGACAUCUUAACUAAAAUGAAUUGGAACGACUUGGGAAAGUCGGCCGUAGAGGGUGAGAGCCCCGUACAGGUAAGUUUUAGAGCGGUAGCAGUAUCCUGAGUAGGGCGGGGCAGGUGAAACCCCGUUUGAAUCUACCGGCACCAUCCGGUAAGGCUAAAUACUCCUGAGAGACCGAUAGUGAACAAGUACCGUGAGGGAAAGGUGAAAAGUACCCUGAA